AGCGUGCGGAGAUGUAUCGCACACUUUCAUAGUCGAUAGGGAGAGCGUCCGCACGGAGAAUCAAUACCGCACCGCUAGCGUGCGGAAGAAUCAUUUCCAUUUAUCUGGCGGUGCGGUACUCGUUCACUCAGUGUAAAGAUUGGAAUGAAUCAUUCAGUUCUGAUUCAUUUUGCCCAUGUCUAGUUUCAACCCCCUCAUGUCCACAAACUGCCUUCGCUUACUAUUCCUAUCCCGUUUCUACAUUCCACAACGUUUGUUGCGUUCACUCAUCACUCAUCACUCAUCAGGGUGUUAGUCAAUUCUCUCUUGCCACACGAAGAGAAUUCUCCUGCACACUUCGUGUGUUUGAUUCUACCCAUCCCUGUUGAACACACGUCAUUUUCUUCCAUCGCACUCAGCAGGGUGUUUGCUCUUUUCCAUCCAAGCCAAAGAGCGACUUCAGUGUGCUCUGAACUGUGGACGUGAGAGUGUGUGUUUGUGUGCUGCGUGAACUAUUUUUCCUGCGUGAAACACUUUCCAUACUGCGCCAUCCGCGGUGUUCUUUCUACUUUAUCGGAGGACAAAUUGUUAUCAUCUAAUUGUUUCGAUGUGUGCUGCUACCGCUAGCUGUUCUCCAAACCUCUUCAAAUUGCGACACUGUGUGCACUGUGUGGGUUCAAUUGAUCCUCGAGCACAAAGCCUUCAUACAACACCGCGGUUGAGGCGCGUCAAAUCUGAUGACAUCUUUCCUGAACCAAGCAGGCUGAACACGCGCACCACCACGGGCUCCAGCGCGGUGUGAAGAGGAAGAAGAAAAGACAGAAUUGGAAACAGCCGCGCCAGGCUUCCAACCACCGUGUGUGUGUAUGUAAGUAUGUGAGAACACAUGUGUGAAUCCUCUUGUGGGAACUGCAAAAAGAAGAGAAU
Molecule: long non-coding RNA, 906 nt
Organism: Anopheles merus
Lineage: Eukaryota; Metazoa; Arthropoda; Insecta; Diptera; Culicidae
Exons: 3
Source: RefSeq, a predicted model, not a curated record